GCCAGGUUCCUUAGCUGAAUCAGCUGAGAGCAAUGAGCUGGGUCUGGAUUCAGCUGUGGAUUCCUCACAAGAACUCUGAAGCAGAGGGGAAAGCACUGAGACAACUCUUGGAGAACAGGAAUUCUUAGUCCAGGUUCUUGGACUUGCUAUCAGGGUCUGUCACCUGAGGAAGCAGCUCCUGUGUCCCACCCUCCCUUCACAAGUGUGGUGUAAGAAAGAAGAGGAGAAACAAAAAUUAUGUUUGAAUCAGCUGGUGGAAGGCAGACGGCUCUUGAGGGUGGCUGAAACCUAAACUAAUCUCAGAAGGACUCUUAUUGCAGAUUCAUCAUGUUCCUGCUGCUUCUGGUGGCUAGGAAGACCACCUUGCAUCUGGAUCUCCUUAAGAAGAUACCAUGCCAAAUAACAGAGAAGCAGCUGAAGUGGCUAAGAUCUUACAAGACCUCAUGAUCAUGAUUGUCCUGUCCAUGUUUUCACUGAUCUGUGGAAAUUCCUGACAGCUAGGAUGAAGCAGCAUGCCACAUACAGAAAACUCCUGUUAGGUUACCUUUAUCAUAUUUUAAUAAAUAGUCAAAACACA
This is a long non-coding RNA of Mauremys reevesii (Reeves's turtle), 577 nucleotides long. RefSeq lists it as uncharacterized. NCBI's taxonomy places the organism in Eukaryota, Metazoa, Chordata, Testudines, Geoemydidae. The record is from RefSeq and is a predicted model, not a curated record. The transcript has 4 exons.